CCUGGCUAGGAUGAUUUAGUUGGUGUUGGUCCUGCCUUGUGGGGGAUUGGACUAGAUGACCUCUUGAGGUCUCUUCCAACCCUAAUCUUCUAUGAUUCUGUGAUUCAAAGAUUGUGCAGGAAAUGGGUGGCAGAAUAUCAGACAAGAUCUGGUAACCUAAUAUUGACGAGGGUCUAGAGAGGAAGCAUGGUCCAGUGGUUAGGGCGCUGACCGGAGACCUGGGUUGAAGUCCCUGCUCUGCCACAAAUUUCCUAUGUGAAGUCACUUAAUCGCUCUGUGCCUCAGUUUCCCAUCUGUAAAAUGUGGUUGUCGCCCUGUCCUAUCUCACAGAGUGUUGCGAGGGUCACUCCGUUACAGAUCAUGCGGCGCUCGGAUACUCUGGGGAGGGGGGCUAGGUACAUACGUCAGAUAGAUGCUUGGUGUAGGGAGCUGCGCAGCUGGAGAGAGAGGCUUGCGGAGAGCUCCAGAGGACGCCAAUAGCCAGCCAACCUUGUUGCAGCAGCCCCUUGGGCUGAGCCUCGGAAGGAAGCCGACUGCAGCGGAUGACGGCUGAGCCACAGCAGGGUGAGUAACCCUACGAAUCUCUAUCUGGUAUCGGCCCCUGGCGGCCUCUGCUCUCCGCGCAGUGCAGCGGGAUGGCGAUUUGUACUUACGCUCUCAGGAAGCGGGGUUUUCACUUUCCCAAAUCUGCCCGUCACGAGGCAUUGAAACAACCCCACGGCUUGUCCUCCACCUCGCUACACGUUGCUCCCUGGGAGCUGCCUACAUGGCAGCGGCAGCUUUGUGAGAUCCCUGCUCAAGGCACACCUCUGAUCCUGGGCCUGGGGAGAGGAAGGAGGGUUAGCUAGUGACCUCGUGGGCUGUAGGAGCAUCCUGAGCAGAGCUGGCCCCAAGUCACAGAGUUAAGCCGGAAAUUCAAACGUUGACAUUGGGGCUGCUCAGACCUGGGCUUCGGCCCAUUGUGGGGAUGGCACCAGCCAUAAAACUUGACUCCAGACCGGGCCUCGCCCAAGCUCAGGGCCACCGGAUCCCGGGAUUCGGCUGGCUGCCUAGUGUGCUCUGUGGAGCACGUACCUGUUAGCCCUGUGAUCACCAUCCCUUCCCGUGCCGGAAGGCGGGAUGCUCUGUAGGAAAGAGCCUUAGCUUGCUGCACGUGACAUGGGCCUUGCCAAAGGCUGGCUCGGUCACCUAUGGCAGCGUAAGGAAUGCAGCAGGAAAGGCUUGGCGAUGUGAACUGGCUGUUUGAAGGGGAUGCCUGGAAUUCUGCACUCAUGGGCACGGAAUGGGCUGGUGCAGAUAAAGGACCUCCUAGACGGGCCUUGAUUUGUGACGGGAGCAAAUUGGAUGUAGGUUGUCAGGGCAGUGCCACUUGCUUCCCGUGCACCAGGCCUAUCCUAUACCCUAACACCAACCUCCUCCCUCCCUGCAGGACUUGACCUGUCUGGAUCCUCGCUUGCUCCCAGGUUGGGACCACGUGGCUGCUUGUCAGACUCUCAGCUCAGGAAGAAGCCACGUCCCCGGCGCCCUGGAAUUGGUGGCUGGCGGUUGCUGCGCAGGCUGGAACUCCCAGCUAGGAAUCUGCAGAGGAGGCUCUGGGGUGUGCCCUGCGGGGAGGAGACUUCCCAGCUGGAACGAGUAAAACUCCCUGAGCGGCAGGAGAGCUGACGUAGCCUCUGAGAUGGGGAUAGGGAGAGGCAGGCGUGUGCUAUAUACAGCUUCCUUGCUUCGCCAAGGUGGUGGAAAUUGAUGUUAGUUCCUGGUAGCAGCCUUCUCCAGUGCAGGGCAGCGGUGCCUGCAGACUCCUGUCCAGCGGUAGCGGGCACACCGUAGAAUUACUGGAAGUGAAUGUCCUGCACUCCCCUGCGAGCUGGCCAGCGUUUCAUCUUUGUACCUUGUCGACAUGAUCUGUGAGGUGUGACAUCGAUUCCAGCCAUUGUCAUCAACAUCUGCGUGGCUCUGUCACCUGGACCUGGACUCGGCACCAUUGAGGAAGAUACGCACCAAGUCUCCUUGCUGAUGCUGGUGAGAAGAGUUUGCCGGCCCAGGGAGCAGCUGUGCAAGACUCUCCCACCUCUAGUCAGUCAACAUGUUUCACCUUUGGAGUGACCCGCCCCCUCCUGGAGGGCUCCAGAAACGCACCAAGAAAAGUCACAUGCAUCAGUGGGCGUACUUGGAGCCUGUCUGAAACAAGGCUACACCUAGACUUCACCACUACUCUGGGUAAGGAAAUACAGGGCACGAUAUUCAAGGCUGCAUGGCAACCUGCUCAUGCCCAAGGAGAAGCUUAAGAGAUUUCUCACAGCUACAUCCCUUACGAAGAGGAACAGAUUGAAGCAUCAUCAUCUUUGGUGCCCCUAUACUAACUACAGGGUGGAAUAGGAGCAUCUAACACCUUGACAACUCCUUCAUUGGGGCUGAGCAAGUUCCUGACAGCCACCUAACCCACUUCCACAUGAACAUGACCAUCUUGAGGAGUUGAACAUGAGUUCAAGACGGGGGGUAUUACUUGCGCUGAGGUGAUAGUAAUGAUUUAAGAAUCCUAUUAGUCGCUGCUGCCAUUGUCUUGAUUCUUAAUGUUACCCUCUCACUGUACAGUUAAAUCAGAGUUGAAAAUCAGGGGCUGUGUGAAAGUAUGGCUCUAAAGGGUUUCAUAGUGCUUAGUUCAGGGCAAGAUGACUAUACCUGUAAAACAAGGUUUUAAAGUCUAUUUACUUUGCAGCCCUGCUGUAGGAAGUCUUCACUCUUAGUAAUCUGUGUGUGUGGUGUUGAUGGGAGACUUACUGUCUUCACGUAAUCCCUAAGCAAAUGAAGUACAUAGGUCAUGAGCUGAGCGACUAACUUAACCAGCUGCGACUAACUGUCAGUGUGCUGCACUCCUUGCUGUUCUGCUCAUGUCAGCGUAGGUGCCUCAGGGUUUCAAGUGUAGACAGGGCUGUGCAGCCCGUCAGAGGGGCUAAGUUCUGAGUCUCACUCCCCAAAUUAGCCACCUCCACCACAAGACUAGUUAAUGGGGGGGGGGAGGGGGGAAGGUUUCAGAUCAGGCAGAUUGGAAAAUUCACACAAGUACACCUUAAAUUUGGGGAAAAAAAUUUUUUGUUGUUGCUAUGGGAGCUGAAAGCCUAAUAAAGCUUUGUCUAGAGGCACCAUUGUGUCAGUCAGAUGAAAUACAAAAAAUGUAUCUAUCUGCUUUUUAAAAGGGCACUGUUAAAGAUCAGUGUGCCCAGGAGAGAUUUCAGCCUUUGUUGUCCUGGUAAAGUGGUGUGAACAGUCAGUCAUCUAUGUAGCUACUCCAAUAUGACAGAGAGAAAAGACAGGCCACUUAAAGUUUUACUAGGCCCAGCUAGGCUCUUUGUUAGGAGGAACUGUACCUUCAUUAUUACUUGAAACCUUCCUUCCUUCUUUUGUGAAUGUGUAGCUAGUUACUUGGAUGAAUUAAGCUGGCACAAUUGCUUUGUUGUUAAACCUAGAAUAAACGCCCUUUCAGUAUCCAGGCAUGGUUGUGUUACACUUCUGCAAAGGGAUUGAGUGAUGUGCUAAACCCAGAACUAAAACUUCCCCAAAUCCUGGGAUAGGUUAGAUCUGAACUUUCCAGCUUCUGCCUCUCUAGAAACCCCCUAAGAUGACUGACUCACCUGUUGCUUGUGCAAUGGUUAAAAAUGUAGAGGGGGGAGACUUUGUCCAAAGAUCUUUCAGAGUAGAUAGAGCAAUGGUCCAGUUGAGGAAACCCUACCUCUAGAGUAGCCAACUCAGCCGUAUUAAACAGGUGGGAGAAUUGCCUGCCUUGCUCCCCAACAGACUGUGCACAGCCUCGCAUGUUCAAAUCCCAGCAGAUAAAGGGGUAGGGGGGAGACUUCUCUCCCGCUCCCUUGGGUGAUCCACCUCAAAGCAUGAGAUCUGAAUGUUUGUGUCAGAGUUUGCAUAGUUAUGAGCAUUCAUGUCAAAGUCAUCACUCAGCCCUUGAAAAUGUCCAGCCACAGACCUAAGGUGAAUCAGUGAGUUAAACUUGGAAGGAGGAUUAGAUUUGUAACCAGUAAAAGGUGAUUUCACUGUUCAAACACAGGGGGGAAAAAAUUUCCAUUGAUAAUUGGAAUUUACAGCUAGUCUAAGUGAGAAAUGCUGCUUGAGAACUUGCGUUUGUAUAUUUGGACAUGUGAUGUUCAGUUUGUGUUUCUGAAUCAACACCUACUGUCAUCUGCCUCCAUCCUCAAAUGCCUGCACCUGUGAAAAUUUAAACAUCGGGGAGGGGUGGAAAUCCUUAAUCCAUAAUUUUGGGCAACAGCGACCAUUAAAAUAGACGAAACUGCUUAAAAACAAACGGGUAUAUGUCAAAAUUAUUUUUUUUAAAGAAGUAUCAAGUUCAGCCAAGUCUGUAGAUCAGAGGUGGGCCACCUCCAGCCCGCAGGACCAUCCUGCCCAGCUCAGGAGCUCCUGGCCAGGGAGGCUUCCCCCCAGCCCCUUCCCUGCUGUCUCCCCUCCACCGCAGCCUCAGUGCGCUGCACCGCCAGUGCUCUGGCCUGCUGCUCUGAGCAGCAUGGUAAGGGGGCAGCUGGCAUGGUCAGGGGACAAGGAGCAGGUUGGAUGGGUCAGGGGGUGGGAAGUGGGAGGGGGCCAGGUCCAGGCUGUUUGGGGAGGCACAGCCUUCCCUACCCAGCCCUCCAUAAAGUUUUGCAACCCUGAUGUGGCCCUCCGGCCAAAAAGUUUGCCCACCCCUGCUGUAGAUAGAACAUAAGUUGAUACCACACCAUGCCCUCGAACUGGUUUUCUAAGGACAUUAAAGGCUGUCUGCCUUUUAUACUCCCUGGGGCUGUGAGAACUUAGCCAUUCAGUUUCUCCUUCAAGAUAAAGGUUUAGAUGAGGUCUGAGAAGCAAGGAUAAAUCAAGUGCUAAGAUAUACUACUUGGUAUGCUAAAGCAGACCUUGGUGCAAUAUGCUGCAUAAAUGUAAUGGGCCAUCAGAUUGAGUAGAUUAGAAGAAAACCACCCAUAAAUUGUAGAGCACCAGGUUAAUUAUGAUUGCUGCUGUGUUCCAUCUAACAGUACUCCUUUUCCUUCAGAGAGAAUUUCAUUUCAGCAGCCUGGAAUUUCCAGACCCUAGUAGCUGGGGAAUUAAGCCUGUUACCAGCAGUUUUGGGGGGAGGGGUGGUCCAUGUCAAUUCUCAGGUGAGAAGCCCCUGACAAUUCACUGCUGGGAGAGGGGAUGGAGCUGGGAUUUCUCCAAGGCUGCUCUUCCAGGACCUUUGUUCGGGGGUUCCCUUGAAUUCUCCACCUAGUAGGGCGCUUCAGAUUUCAAACCCCUAAGCGGCUCUGGCAGCUAGAAGGGAAGGGGAGCAAUCUCUUCCUCCUCCGCUCCCACAGCAGGGUGGCUGAGGAAGGAAGGGGUGCUAUUCUACCUUUUCUCCAGCCUCCUGGGUGCGCUUGCAUAGCUCCACCCCUCCCUCAGCUUUCUAGCUCUUGAGCAGGGUGUGUCUGCUACUCUAUCCCUCCUGCAGUCUCCCCUUUUGGGCCCUCCUGCCUAAACUGAUGCUUGUCACUUUCACCCUGACCACAGCAGAGGUGAAAACUGACAAGAAGUGGGUUAGUUUUCACUAUGGGCAGCUUGAGAGAACUCUGAGCUGCAGACUCAGGAUGACAAUACUGCAUUGGUUCACACACACCAUUACCAAUCAGAAAGCUUCCUGAACAGCAAGAAGGGAUAGAUUUUCUGGGUUUUUUUAAAGCUUAGAUUCUGCAGAAACUGAUAACCCUUGCCCUCUGAUUUUUCAAACCCAGCUAAACAGGUAAAAAGAACCCACCUAAUGCAAGUGUUGAUGGAGAGGUAAGUGGUGGAUUAACAGAACAAGCACUACACCAAGAGCAAGACUAAAAUGUGUUGCAUUCAAAAAUCAGCAGCGAAAGUUGAACUCACUGGGCCAAAUUAUGCCUGGGUGAAUUUGGCCCAUUUGUUCCAGUAAGCGAGAAAUCUGACUGAUUGCACAAAUGCAUUCUGGGUGUGUUGUGGAGUUGCUCCAUCAUUCAGAGACAGAUCUUUAAAACUAGUGGAUUACAGGCUUUUCCAGUAAAACAUCCCCUAUUCUAAAGCUUUGCACUUUUCAUGCUUCCAUCUCCAAGUGUGGUACUCCGGCAGGUAAAGCAGCGUUGUCCCCACUUUACAGAUGACAAAACCAAGGCCAAACACAAACUGAGGUACUGCUGCUGAUUCUGCCACUAGGUGUCCUGAUUCUCAGCCCAAUACCUUCUCUGGUGCACCAUGUGCCUAGUCAUGCAAGGAAAUGCUACAGCACAAUCGUUAUUGAAAACUAAACUAGCAUUGAUUUAUGUCCAUGAAAAUCAAGUCACACAAGGCUUCCAAUCUCUCUGCUUGUUCCCAGAGUGCUGAGCACCUGUAACUCCUACUGAAGUCAGGGGGAGAUGUUGGUAUUCAGCACUGCUCUAGAUCAACCCCAGAAACAUCACUGCAGAAGAUAAUAGUAGAUGUAAUAAACACAGGGAAGUAAUUCAUUGCCAUUAAGAUAAAUCCAAGUUACAGGUAAUCAAACAUAUGGGGAAAAGCAAUUGAGCAGAUGGCUUAAAUACAGAGCAGAAUAGGGAAAGAUGUAAGCAGCAGCUUUAUGUGGUUUCCUUAAGCACAGAAUCAGAGCAAGAUGCAUGAAAAGGGAAAACUAAGGUAAAUAAGGAGUCUAAGUGUCCGUACAACAGUGCUAGCAAGUUCUCAAGCUCAGUGAAUGUCACGGAUUAUUAGUUUCAGAGUAAUAAACUGGGCUGAGACAUGAAAUUGCUGCCUGUUGCCAGGGUCUCAAAGUGCUCAAGUCAAAGUCACUGGGACUUGGAGGUGCUCAGCAGGAUCAGAGCCUAGAUAUGAAACCCAGGAUGGACAGAGCAGAGGUCUGUAAUGAAGGUGUCACCUUCAAUUGAAACUGAUCUUUGUUUUGUGCACCACGCCCACGAGGUUCUUCACUAUUGUAAAAAGAUGCCCUGCAGCUGCAUGCAACUAUACGUCCUUUAAAGAGCUCCCAUUAACCUUAUGGUCAAUGACAUUGAACAAGCUGCAUUAGGGUGAAGAUUUUCCAGUGCCUUAGGGCACUGCUCAAACACGAAACCCCACAGCAGUCGGCUGAAAUGGAUACCAUUACUCAGUGCAGAUUUGCUCUUUGGGGUGAGGAGCUUACUGAUUGUUUCCUGUCCCAUUAGGGGGUCUCUGUGAGGGCCAGCCAUUCAGGGGCAUAUGAAGGGAUAUUCAAGCCCUUACCUUCCUCUGAGCCCAAAUCUACUGUCUUUGCUCAUCUAAGGACUUGUGUGGCGCAUCCUAUUAUCUGACAGGAGGUAGGGAAGUAUUUUCAGUUUACAGAUGGGGAAGUGAAGGACAGAUCUGUUAAGUGCUAGAUUCACAAAGGGACUUAAAACCCAACAUUUAGGCCCCUCUGACAUACACAAAAUCUCUGCUCAGCUGCUGCUUACUCCUCUAGGAGCCUAGGGUCCCCUAUGUUUCCACUGGUAGGCAUGAGGAUGCUCAGGAGCUGCUUCGAGCCCUUGCUCAUGCCUAAGCCCUGAAGGGAUUCUCAAGCAAAGCAUUCCCCUAGCGCUCUCACUUGGGUGGGUGAGCUGAGCAUACCCACACAAAAAGACAGCCGGGGCAAGCAGGGUAGGAAUUUUGGAGGCAGAUGCGCAUCCCUGUAAUACCCAAGUGCCCCAAUCACCAGGCUACUGUCUCGCUCACUGAAUACAAAAUGAAACAGUGUCAACCACAGAGAUUGAGACACCCACCCCCACAAUACCCAACAGCUGGGUGGGAUGGGCAUUUUCCUGGGAGGUGUGAGACCUAGGUUCAAGUUUCUGCUCCAGAUAAGGUAGAUCUGGGAUUUGAAAACAGGACUCCCACAUCCCAGGGGAGUGCUCUGGGUUGGGGAGUAUUGGCUGUAUUGGGGUCCUCCCCCCAUCCCCUGGAAAAAUGGAUGACCUGGUUGAGAAAGCUAAUUCCAGGAGAGAGUUCAUGGCUGAGAAUCCCCAUGGAGGUUAGACACCUCCCUCUAGCCUGUUGUCAGGUACCUAGAGGUCCAGAUCCAUGGGAGUUAGGCACCUAAGACCCUCUGUGGAUUGGACCCUAAGCCCCACUCCUUUCCUCUGCAUUUCACUCCUGGCUGGCUUAGGCAGCUCCCUGUUCAGAGUGCUGGCUUUUGAGAAUCCCUCUCUUAGGGGCCUAACUCUCCCCUACAAUGCGUGUGAAGCCUGGGCGCCUAAUUGGGGGCUCUGAAUUCCACUGGGUGGCAGGACACCUUUUUUAAUCUAGUCCUUAGCGACUUGCCUGAGGUGACCCAGGGAGUCUGUGGCAGAACCAGAACUGAACCCAGAUCUCCUGAGUCCCAGCCCAGUGCCUUAACAAAGCCAUGCUUCCUCAUCUGAAGCCCUUGGGGGUUACAUUUGUAAGACGCUGUGUAAAACUGAUCACUGUGCUGCUUGGCAACAGUUUUAUAUUUAGUUCGGAUCAGUCCACAUUUGCCCAUUUCAUCCCUGACCACUUCGACAGUCUAGAUCACGAGUCAGACAGGAGACCAACAGCAGAUUCCACCAGGUACGUGGUGGAAGAGGAGGAGAGGGCGCUGGCUCUGUGUUUGGCGAGAUGAGAUCCUCAAUUCAGCCAGUUGCUCAAGGGAUUGAUUGUCUAGGCAAAUCUCUCACUAAGUCACUACAGAGCCUCCACCUCUGAGAACAUCACUGAUAACAAUCUUUGCCAUUCUCUAGCACCUUCCUUCCAAGCUUCUCUGAGCGCUGUACCCUCAACAGCGACUUUAACCCCUAUGGAAUGUCACGAGGUUAGGAAGGGAGCAAUUGCUUUACACAGUGGCAAGUUAUAGCCCAGAGUGGUGAAAUAACUGGCCUGAAAUCUUCCCUCUCCCACCAACAGAAGUUGGUCCAAUAAACGAUAUUACGUCACCUGCGGUCUCUAAUUUGCGCAAGAUUAUACUGUCUGAUCAUCAUCCUGGAUGGAGUCCAGUCUUAGCUCUGAAAACUAGGGCCUCUCUGGCAUAAGCGUUACGACUUGACUUAAGACCAUGAGCUGUGUGGAAAUGGGAGUUUCUCCUCUCCCCCAUCCCCCCAAAAAUAAAACCACAGCAAUGAGUUAUACAGAUUCCUUCCUGCUACCCUGCCCUGUUUCCUGUGUAGAAAUCACAGAAUUACCGGCACGGGUGGGCAAGGUCUCCGCUGCAUGACUUGGAGCCUUUCAUUAGCUUGUUUGUACAGUGUGAAAAAAGAGGUCUGGCUGAGUGCGCGGCUGCUGCUGGCAUUUGCUAUUGUGACACUGGGGAGAGUUUGAUUUGGCAGAGGAGUCCUGAUUUUGGGGCCAAAGGCACGUCUUUAACGGUUUACGGCGCCUGGAAAUAAACAGGGCCUGGGCAAUACUUGCUCAGUUUAAAACCAAACUGCUGCGGAAAGUUUAUGCAGAGGUCUUGCCCCCCACCCCCAUUCCUAGCACACAUUCAGCUUAUCACAGGUGCCAGCCCACCGAGGUAGGCAGGUUGCCAUUUUACACACUGCUUCACCUAGCUCAGUGGUGCUCAACCAGGGGUCUUCCAGGGAGCACAUCAACUCAGCUCGAGAUCUGCCUUGUUUUACAACAAGCUACAUAAAAACCACUAGCAAAGUCAGUACAAACUAACAUUUCCUACAGACAAUGACUUGUUUAUACUGCUCUAGGAAUGGAGUGCUGACCUGUGAGUACAAUAUUUACAUUCCAAUUGAUUUAUCUGAUAAAUGGUUAAAAUGAGAAAGUCAAUGGUUCAGUGACAGGGGACUGGGAUGGUUUUGUAUUCUGUAGGUCUGAUUUUGUAAGCAAGUAGUUUAAGUGAGGUGAAACAUGGGGUAUGCAAAUGUGACACAUGGCCAGAAUGCAUUAAGCACCCUGCAGGAUAAAUAACCCAAAUUCAACCUCUAGGGACAUGUUAUUAGAUGCUUGUGUUUUUGUGUGGUUAUAUAUAAAUAUAUUGUUUGAGGUUGACAGUGUAACCAAACGGUUACUGUCUAUGCUGAAUUCUGUUAAUCCAGAGAUCAAAAGGAGAUCUUAACAUUUAAAUGAACUGUAAAUAUAGUGAUAUCACUGUAUUGAUCUCUCUUUGAAAUGUAAAGCAAUCACCUAUGAAUGGUGGAAAACAGGCAAAUGCCUUGUUUGUUAAUUACCAGCGAUGCUUAGGAAAUAGGUCCACUUCAAAGUCUUGAUGAUUGCCUAUUGUUGGCCUAAGAAUUCCGUGCUGUCAAGGGAAGGCCUGGAACUGUAUUAAGGAGUCUUGGGUCCUGAUCCUUUUUAUCUCAGAUCUGCUUUAUGCAGGGGAAGCUUGAGUCCUAAGACUGAGAUCUCCGGUCCCACCUGGAUCACCGCAAAUAUGAACAUUGGACUAUAACCUAUGGACCAACUCUGAAAGGACUUUUUGAAACUACAAAGCUCACCAUCUCUACUAUAAAACUGAUCUCAGAAUGGUGCUCAUGUCUGUAUGUAUACUGAUCUUUUAACCAAUACUCACUUUUUAAAAAAAAUAAAUAAAUUCUAGUUUAAUUACUAAGAA
This is a long non-coding RNA of Chelonia mydas (Green sea turtle), 10552 nucleotides long. RefSeq lists it as uncharacterized. The record is from RefSeq and is a predicted model, not a curated record. NCBI's taxonomy places the organism in Eukaryota, Metazoa, Chordata, Testudines, Cheloniidae. The transcript is spliced from 6 exons.